GAUGAACGCUCGCGGCAGGCCUAAUACAUGCAAGUCGGACGGGAUUCAGGAGCUUGCUUCUGAUGAGAGUGGCGCACGGGUGCGUAACACGUAUGUAACCUACCUUUAUCAGGGGGAUAGCCUCUCGAAAGAGAGAUUAAGCCCGCAUAAAAUCACAGCACAGCAUUGUGUAAUGAUCAAAUAUUUAUAGGAUAAAGAUGGGCAUGCGGAACAUUAGCUAGAUGGCGGGGUAACGGCCCACCAUGGCGACGAUGUUUAGGGGAUCUGAGAGGAUGGCCCCCCACACUGGUACUGAGACACGGACCAGACUCCUACGGGAGGCAGCAGUAAGGAAUAUUGGUCAAUGGGCGGAAGCCUGAACCAGCCAUGCCGCGUGCAGGAAGACGGCCCUACGGGUUGUAAACUGCUUUUAUACGGGAAUAAACCCAGAUACGUGUAUCUGGCUGAAUGUACUGUAAGAAUAAGAAUCGGCUAACUCCGUG
RNAcentral lists this ribosomal RNA (482 nucleotides) under uncultured bacterium. RNAcentral's name for it is "partial 16S ribosomal RNA". It matches the Rfam family "Bacterial small subunit ribosomal RNA", at positions 28 to 507 of the family's 1533-position model. The record is from RNAcentral.